This 305-nucleotide ribosomal RNA is filed under the name uncultured bacterium. RNAcentral describes it as "bacterial SSU rRNA". It matches the Rfam family "Bacterial small subunit ribosomal RNA", at positions 337 to 639 of the family's 1533-position model. The record is from RNAcentral.
GCCUACGGGACGGAGCAGUGAGGAAUAUUGGUCAAUGGGCGGGAGCCUGAACCAGCCAAGUCGCGUGAGGGAAGACGGUCCUAUGGAUUGUAAACCUCUUUAGGCGGGGAGCAAUGCCGGGCACGCGUGCCCGGAGGGAGAGUACCCGCAGAAUAAGCAUCGGCUAACUCCGUGCCAGCAGCCGCGGUAAUACGGAGGAUGCGAGCGUUAUCCGGAUUUAUUGGGUUUAAAGGGUGCGUAGGCGGAUUUUUAAGUCAGCGGUAAAAUGUCCGGGCUCAACCCGGGCCAGCCGUUGAAACUGGGGG